RNAcentral lists this ribosomal RNA (449 nucleotides) under uncultured bacterium. Its description in RNAcentral is "partial 16S ribosomal RNA". It matches the Rfam family "Bacterial small subunit ribosomal RNA", at positions 29 to 523 of the family's 1533-position model. The record is from RNAcentral.
AGCGAACGCUGGCGGCAGGCCUAACACAUGCAAGCCGAACGAAGUCUUCGGACUUAGUGGCGGACGGGUGAGUAACACGUGGGAACGUGCCUUUAGGUUCGGAAUAACUCAGGGAAACUUGUGCUAAUACCGAAUGUGCCCUUCGGGGGAAAGAUUUAUCGCCUUUAGAGCGGCCCGCGUCUGAUUAGCUAGUUGGUGAGGUAAAGGCUCACCAAGGCGACGAUCAGUAGCUGGUCUGAGAGGAUGAUCAGCCACAUUGGGACUGAGACACGGCCCAAACUCCUACGGGAGGCAGCAGUGGGGAAUCUUGCGCAAUGGGCGUAAGCCUGACGCAGCCAUGCCGCGUGAAUGAUGAAGGUCUUGGGAUUGUAAAAUUCUUUCACCGGGGACGAUAAUGACGGUACCCGGAGAAGAAGCCCCGGCUAACUUCGUGCCAGCCGCCGCCGUAA